GACGAACGCUGGCGGCGUGCUUAACACAUGCAAGUCGAACGUGAUUUUUGUGGAAAUUCUUUCGGGAAUGGAAAUGAAAUGAAAGUGGCGAACGGGUGAGUAACACGUGAGCAACCUACCUUACACAGGGGGAUAGCCGUUGGAAACGACGAUUAAUACCGCAUGAGACCACAGAAUCGCAUGAUAUAGGGGUCAAAGAUUUAUCGGUGUAAGAAGGGCUCGCGUCUGAUUAGCUAGUUGGAAGGGUAAAGGCCUACCAAGGCGACGAUCAGUAGCCGGUCUGAGAGGAUGAACGGCCACAUUGGAACUGAGACACGGUCCAAACUCCUACGGGAGGCAGCAGUGGGGAAUAUUGCACAAUGGGGGGAACCCUGAUGCAGCGACGCCGCGUGAGCGAAGAAGGUUUUCGAAUCGUAAAGCUCUGUCCUAUGAGAAGAUAAUGACGGUAUCAUAGGAGGAAGCCCCGGCUAAAUACGUGCCAGCAGCCGCGGUAAUACGUAUGGGGCGAGCGUUGUCCGGAAUUAUUGGGCGUAAAGGGUACGUAGGCGGUUUUUUAAGUCAGGCGUGAAAGCGUGAGGCUUAACCUCAUUAAGCACUUGAAACUGGAAGACUUGAGUGAAGGAGAGGAAAGUGGAAUUCCUAGUGUAGCGGUGAAAUGCGUAGAUAUUAGGAGGAAUACCGGUGGCGAAGGCGACUUUCUGGACUUUUACUGACGCUCAGGUACGAAAACGUGGGGAGCAAACAGG
This 746-nucleotide ribosomal RNA is filed under the name uncultured Parvimonas sp. RNAcentral's name for it is "bacterial SSU rRNA". It matches the Rfam family "Bacterial small subunit ribosomal RNA", at positions 28 to 776 of the family's 1533-position model. The record is from RNAcentral. Lineage: Bacteria; Bacillati; Bacillota; Tissierellia; Tissierellales; Peptoniphilaceae.